This 413-nucleotide ribosomal RNA is filed under the name uncultured bacterium. RNAcentral's name for it is "bacterial SSU rRNA". It matches the Rfam family "Bacterial small subunit ribosomal RNA", at positions 28 to 436 of the family's 1533-position model. The record is from RNAcentral.
GACGAACGCUGGCGGCGCGCCUAACACAUGCAAGUCGAACGAGCGAGAGAUAGCUUGCUUUCUCGAGCGAGUGGCGAACGGGUGAGUAACGCGUGAGGAACCUGCCUCAAAGAGGGGGACAACAGUUGGAAACGACUGCUAAUACCGCAUAAGCCCACGGCUCGGCAUCGAGCAGAGGGAAAAGGAGCAAUCCGCUUUGAGAUGGCCUCGCGUCCGAUUAGCUAGUUGGUGAGGUAACGGCCCACCAAGGCGACGAUCGGUAGCCGGACUGAGAGGUUGAACGGCCACAUUGGGACUGAGACACGGCCCAGACUCCUACGGGAGGCAGCAGUGGGGAAUAUUGCACAAUGGGGGAAACCCUGAUGCAGCGACGCCGCGUGGAGGAAGAAGGUCUUCGGAUUGUAAACUCCUGU